Molecule: ribosomal RNA, 292 nt
Filed under: uncultured bacterium
Lineage: Bacteria
Description: partial 16S ribosomal RNA
Rfam family: Bacterial small subunit ribosomal RNA
Source: RNAcentral
GUGCCAGCCGCCGCGGUAAGACAGAGGGUGCAAACGUUGUUCGGAAUUACUGGGCGUAAAGCGCGUGUAGGCUGCCCAGCAAGUCGGAUGUGAAAGCCCUGGGCUUAACCUAGGAAGUGCAUUCGAAACUGCUGGGCUUGAGUUCUGGAGAGGAAGGCGGAAUUCUCGGUGUAGAGGUGAAAUUCGUAGAUAUCGAGAGGAACACCGGUGGCGAAGGCGGCCUUCUGGACAGUGACUGACGCUGAGACGCGAAAGCGUGGGGAGCAAACAGGAUUAGAUACCCGCGUAGUCC